This 425-nucleotide ribosomal RNA is filed under the name uncultured bacterium. Its description in RNAcentral is "bacterial SSU rRNA". It matches the Rfam family "Bacterial small subunit ribosomal RNA", at positions 355 to 771 of the family's 1533-position model. The record is from RNAcentral.
UGAGGAAUAUUGCGCAAUGGGGGAAACCCUGACGCAGCGACGCCGCGUGGAUGAUGAAGGCCUUCGGGUCGUAAAAUCCUGUCAGAUGGAAAGAAAUGCCGGAUGUCUAAUAUAUGUCCGGUUUGACGGUACCAUCAAAGGAAGCACCGGCUAACUCCGUGCCAGCAGCCGCGGUAAUACGGAGGGUGCAAGCGUUGUUCGGAAUUACUGGGCGUAAAGCGCGCGUAGGCGGCUUUUUAAGUCAGAUGUGAAAGUCCUCGGCUCAACCGGGGAAGUGCAUUUGAUACUGGAAGGCUUGAGUACUGGAGGGGAUGGUGGAAUUCCCGGUGUAGAGGUGAAAUUCGUAGAUAUCGGGAGGAAUACCGGUGGCGAAGGCGACCAUCUGGCCAGAUACUGACGCUGAGGUGCGAAAGCGUGGGGAGCAA